GGGCAUGUGGCGGAACUGGCAUACGCGUGCGUCUCAGAAGCGCAUGGAGCAAUCCUUGGGAGUUCAAAUCUCCCCAUGCCCA
This 82-nucleotide transfer RNA is filed under the name Candidatus Adlerbacteria bacterium RIFCSPHIGHO2_02_FULL_54_18. RNAcentral describes it as "tRNA-Leu". It matches the Rfam family "tRNA". From Rfam's summary of the family: Transfer RNA (tRNA) molecules are approximately 80 nucleotides in length. Their secondary structure includes four short double-helical elements and three loops (D, anti-codon, and T loops). Lineage: Bacteria; Candidatus Adleribacteriota. RNAcentral also lists the same sequence under 2 other names. The record is from RNAcentral.